AUGGAUCCAUGUGCUCAUGGUAACAGUUCCCCUAACCUGACCGUCCUGCCCCCCUCUAGUGAGGAGCUGUCCCGUAAGACAACGGCCACACUGACGUGUCUGGCCAACAAGGGCUUCCCCUCAGACUGGACCAUGAGCUGGAAAGUGGACGGCAACAGCAAGAAGCAGGACGGCAACGACGGCCUGUACAGCUGGAGCAGCACCCUGACUCUCACUGCCCAGGAGUGGAUCAAGGCAGUGUCCGUAACCUGUGAGGCCCACCAGGAUAACCCGGGCCGAGGAGACCCUGGACUCCACUGA
Molecule: non-coding RNA, 300 nt
Organism: Salvelinus sp. IW2-2015
Lineage: Eukaryota; Metazoa; Chordata; Actinopteri; Salmoniformes; Salmonidae
Source: the annotation of a RefSeq genome assembly